RNAcentral lists this ribosomal RNA (170 nucleotides) under uncultured bacterium. Its description in RNAcentral is "partial 16S ribosomal RNA". It matches the Rfam family "Bacterial small subunit ribosomal RNA", at positions 1323 to 1500 of the family's 1533-position model. The record is from RNAcentral.
AAGCUGGAUUCGCUAGUAAUCGCGCAUCAGCCAUGGCGCGGUGAAUACGUUCCCGGGCCUUGUACACACCGCCCGUCAAGCCAUGGGAGCCGGGGGUGCUUGAAGUGCGUCGCCGCAAGGCGCGCCCUAGAGCAAAACCGGUGACUGGGGCUAAGUCGUAACAAGGUAUC